Molecule: non-coding RNA, 73 nt
Organism: Potamilus streckersoni
Lineage: Eukaryota; Metazoa; Mollusca; Bivalvia; Unionida; Unionidae
Source: the annotation of a GenBank genome assembly
GAUCUGGAGGUCUAGUGGUUAGAGCACCCACCUCGGAUGCUGGAGGUCGCAGGUUUGAUCCCUGGCCGAAUCA